Molecule: non-coding RNA, 872 nt
Organism: Paramuricea clavata
Lineage: Eukaryota; Metazoa; Cnidaria; Anthozoa; Malacalcyonacea; Plexauridae
Source: the annotation of a GenBank genome assembly
UGGGCUUAAGAUAAUUAUCCAUGGCUGAAAACGCAGGAAAUAGCAUUUCCGAGGUUCAAAUUUUAAAAUUUUCUCGGGGGAGCAUGCCCCCGAACCCCCCAAGGUUACAGGUCAUUCAUAUACUGUACCCUCCUCCAUUUUCGAGUACUCUACUCUAUCCCUGCAUGUUUUAGGUUUUGGUGCAGUUAUACAUUCUUUGUAAGUAAACUUGCACGCUUUAGUGUGGGGAACAUUAAGACAUAACCAUAUAUAAAAUAAAGCACAGUGAAAAUUCCUUGGCCCCUCUUGGGAUUCAGUUCUCGGCCUCCUCUGACUGAAAACCCCUGCUACGUUUCCGAUGAUAGCUAUAUGAAAGCCUAAAGUUACUGUAAGCCGUUAUUAUGAGAGGCAAAAAAAAUAUCCUGCGGCCAAAUAUAUUGGGAAAAAAUAUCUUGCGCUGCACUUUUACAGGAAAAAAAUAUCUGUCUCGUUCGCCUGGGCGGAAAAAAAAUUCUUGCACAGACUGAAUCUUCCACCCCCCCUCAAAAAUCAAAUGGUCCGCCCCUUAAAGGCAUGCAUGUUACAUGCACGAGCCUAUUUUUACUACAAUUUGCAACGCACUUUUUGACAUAUAGAAUGUAGUCGCAGGCUACAUACUCCCAAAAGUUAUGAGUGUAUGGCCACGGUUCGCACUGGCGUCAAAUUUUAAUCCCAUUUCUUUCAUUUUUUGUCUCUGAAGAGUAGGUUAUGAAAAGAAAGUGUCGGCAGAGUGCGGCCAUUCUCUGUGACGAUUUCUUAGAUAACAUUGUUCUGUAUGGAAAUUGCGUUGCAAGAUGCAGCAACAUUGGCUUUAUACGCGUCUCUCGUCUGCUGUCAACUUCCCGCGGGCGUAC